UGGAGAAACGUGUUCCCUUCCCCUGCUUCCUUAAUCUCCACCGGGUAACAGGUGCCCACCCGCCACCUCGAGGGACACACUGCCGCCCUCUCAGACCCCGGCGGGGCGGGGAAGACUGUGCGGCUCCUCGGGCUCUAACGUCCGCACCGUCGGCGCUGGGCGCGCGGUCAGAAGCCCAGGCCUGCGAGCUGGAGGCGCUGGGCGCGCGCAUGCGUGCGUUCGCAGUUUUAUCCUGAAUUCCACCUUCCAGUCCUCAAAAUCAGUUCUUCCUUGGGCUUCAGCUCUGACUAAAGUCACCUCAAGACCAGGAGAGCUUGCAAGAGAGGUGAUGGAUUCAAGAGAGAAUCUUGAAACACUGCCUCUGUAAACCUUUUGUGUACCACAAACUUAAAAGCUAUAACUAGGAAUUCAAGCCUAAGAAUUCGUUUUGUAUGCUUUACCUGCUUUAAGACAAGCUGGCUUUCUACCAGUAGGAAUGUGAUAUUGGUGAUAUUGCUUCAUCCUAGAGUUUGGGUAAGUAUUGUAAUGACUGAUGGAUAUAAGAAGUCAAUGGAGGCUUUACCCUUAAAGAGAAGGUCAGUGUUUCUUAUUUUCUUCCUUCUGCCAUGAAGCUUUUCUAGAAAUAGAAUCUGGGUUUCUUUUAUUAGUUAAUCUUUUUCCUCCCACCAUCUUUUUAUAUGUAAACUAAGCUUUUUUUGAAAGCAAUUUAUGGCAAUGUUGUCCAGUUUUCUUUGGCAAUUAAAGAUAGGUAUGUAUGUGAGUAUGUCUGGUCUCAAGCUCUAAUCAUUCUGUUAUUCAUUCAGACCUGAUUUGGAAAAAGUAGAAGAGAAAGACUUCUUCAUCUGUAUUAAAGAGAGCUACUGUCAAUAAUUGUAAAUGGGUUUUAGAGACUUAAUGAUUUUGUCUUAGUAAGUAACAAACAACACUUAGUUCUCUAAUUUUAUCACUUGCAAACCUGUAGAGUUCUCUCCAACUAUCAAUUGUUCCUGUUAGAUAGCUACAGCUGAAAAGAUGUAGUGUUUAUUUCAGGGUACAUUCAUAGUAUACAGUGAUGCUGAGAUGUAACAAAUGCAUUACCAGGUCCCUUAUCAAAUAUAAAGGAAUCA
This is a non-coding RNA of Microcebus murinus (gray mouse lemur), 1106 nucleotides long. The record is from RefSeq and is a predicted model, not a curated record. NCBI's taxonomy places the organism in Eukaryota, Metazoa, Chordata, Mammalia, Primates, Cheirogaleidae.